UCAUGUAAGAAAUCUGACAAUUCCGGAACCACCAUGAUGGAGACAGUACUUACAGGCACUCAAGUCAACAGUCACAAUUGAACUCCCUGCUGAUGACCGACAUCAACAGUCAUUUUUUGGCAAACUCAUACCAAUGAAAUCUGAUACAAGCAACCCACAAUCAGCACCAGGGGUACCACUGACAUAUGACACCACCUUUAUCAGCUUACUUCUUCAACCUGGCCUUGAUACAUAGUGCUCAUUUUCACGAUCCCAGUGGAAUAAGAGCCUGGGGGACAGAGUGAGACCUUGUCUAAGAAAAAAAGAAAAGAAAAGAAGAAAAGGAAAGAGAC
Long non-coding RNA from Symphalangus syndactylus (siamang), 332 nucleotides. RefSeq lists it as uncharacterized. The record is from RefSeq and is a predicted model, not a curated record. NCBI's taxonomy places the organism in Eukaryota, Metazoa, Chordata, Mammalia, Primates, Hylobatidae.